UACGUAGGGUGCGAGCGUUGCCCGGAUUUAUUGGGCGUAAAGGGCGCGCAGGCGGCCACGCACGUCCGUUGUGAAAUCGCCCGGCUCAACUGGGCGGGGUCGGCGGAUACGGCGUGGCUGGAGCAAGCUAGGGGGUAGUGGAAUUCCCGGUGUAGUGGUGGAAUGCGUAGAUAUCGGGAGGAACACCAGUGACGAAGGCGGCUACCUGGGGCUUUGCUGACGCUGAGGCGCGAAAGCGUGGGGAGCGAGCCGG
RNAcentral lists this ribosomal RNA (253 nucleotides) under uncultured bacterium. Its description in RNAcentral is "partial 16S ribosomal RNA". It matches the Rfam family "Bacterial small subunit ribosomal RNA", at positions 524 to 776 of the family's 1533-position model. The record is from RNAcentral.